Molecule: ribosomal RNA, 207 nt
Filed under: uncultured bacterium
Lineage: Bacteria
Description: partial 16S ribosomal RNA
Rfam family: Bacterial small subunit ribosomal RNA
Source: RNAcentral
CGCGUAGGUGGUUUGUUAAGUUGGAUGUGAAAGCCCCGGGCUCAACCUGGGAACUGCAUCCAAAACUGGCAAGCUAGAGUACGGUAGAGGGUGGUGGAAUUUCCUGUGUAGCGGUGAAAUGCGUAGAUACAGGAAGGAACACCAGUGGCGAAGGCGACCACCUGGACUGAUACUGACACUGAGGUGCGAAAGCGUGGGGAGCAAACA